AUAAGGAGUCGGACCUGCCCAGUGAAUAGUUUUUUAACGGCCGCGGUACUCUGACCGUGCAAAGGUAGCAUAAUCAUUUGCCCUAUAAUUGAGGGCUAGUAUGAAUGGUUUGACAAGAGUAUAACUGUCUCUUUAUGAUUAUACAGAAUUUUAUUUUUAGGUGAAGAAGCCUAAAUAUAAUUAAAAGACAAGAAGACCCUAUCGAGCUUUAGAUAAAUUAGUAAAUUAAAUAAAAUAUUAAUUAAUAAAAUAAUAUUUUCUAAAAACUUUAGUUGGGGCGACAAAGGAACAGAGAAAGCUUCCUUCAUUAAUUAUAACUAGCUAGUAUUGAUCCAAAAAUUUUGAUUAAUGGAAUUAGUUACCGUAGGGAUAACAGCAUUAUCUUUUUUAAGAGCUCAUAUCGAAAAAAAGGUUUGUGACCUCGAUGUUGGACCAGAAUAUCCUAAAGAUGCAGAAGUCUUUAAGGGUUGGUCUGUUCGACCAUUAAAAUUCUA
This 494-nucleotide ribosomal RNA is filed under the name Phalium sp. MNHN-IM-2009-15913. RNAcentral describes it as "partial 16S ribosomal RNA". It matches the Rfam family "Bacterial large subunit ribosomal RNA", at positions 1845 to 2598 of the family's 2925-position model. Lineage: Eukaryota; Metazoa; Mollusca; Gastropoda; Littorinimorpha; Cassidae. The record is from RNAcentral.